Long non-coding RNA from Medicago truncatula (barrel medic), 302 nucleotides. RefSeq lists it as uncharacterized. The record is from RefSeq and is a predicted model, not a curated record. Lineage: Eukaryota; Viridiplantae; Streptophyta; Magnoliopsida; Fabales; Fabaceae. The transcript has 2 exons.
UCUCUGUGUGUGUGUGUGUGUCUAAAACUCGAGCCACUUUCAUCAUCACUAUCUCUAUCUUCGUUGAUAAAAAAAAUCAUAAAUUUUUCACUCUUUUUCCAAUUUCUUUUGACGCUAAAGGUAAGUAUGAAUGGAAGAACCUUUGUUGCAAGUUGGCGCUUUUCGGAAAUUAUGAUGUUUUUGGAAUUGUGAGGCAAAUUAGUGAGAAGUAUGAUGCUUUUCGGAAAUGUGUGACAAAUUUCUUCAUUGUUAUGGGAUGAUUUUCCAGAUCAUUAAUAUAUCAAGCUUUUAUUUUGAUAAAA